CCAAUGAAGCCGCGGCGGGGUCUGCUACGCCGAAGAACAAGACUUUAAAGAAAUGGCCACUGGACAAGCUUCCAGAAUUUUCACACGUGGUGCAACCGAUAUUGAAUGGGAACAAAAUGCCUGAGGACAAACAUAAAAGACUAUCCAGGCAACAGAGGGACGAAGUCGCCAUGUUUUUGGAUGAGAAUCACCUCAUAGAGGGGUGUUCAAAAGGAGAGGCAAGGUGGACAUACAAACGUUUAC
Molecule: long non-coding RNA, 243 nt
Organism: Ornithodoros turicata
Lineage: Eukaryota; Metazoa; Arthropoda; Arachnida; Ixodida; Argasidae
Exons: 3
Source: RefSeq, a predicted model, not a curated record